RNAcentral lists this ribosomal RNA (492 nucleotides) under uncultured bacterium. RNAcentral's name for it is "partial 16S ribosomal RNA". It matches the Rfam family "Bacterial small subunit ribosomal RNA", at positions 29 to 507 of the family's 1533-position model. The record is from RNAcentral.
AGUGAACGCUGGCGGUAGGCCUAACACAUGCAAGUCGAACGGCAGCACAGUAAGAGCUUGCUCUUACGGGUGGCGAGUGGCGGACGGGUGAGGAAUACAUCGGAAUCUACUUUUUCGUGGGGGAUAACGUAGGGAAACUUACGCUAAUACCGCAUACGACCUACGGGUGAAAGCAGGGGAUCUUCGGACCUUGCGCGAUUGAAUGAGCCGAUGUCGGAUUAGCUAGUUGGCGGGGUAAAGGCCCACCAAGGCGACGAUCCGUAGCUGGUCUGAGAGGAUGAUCAGCCACACUGGAACUGAGACACGGUCCAGACUCCUACGGGAGGCAGCAGUGGGGAAUGUUGGACAAUGGGCGCAAGCCUGAUCCAGCCAUACCGCGUGGGUGAAGAAGGCCUUCGGGUUGCAAAGCCCUUUUGUUGGGAAAGAAAAGCAGCAGGUUAAUACCCCGCUGUUCUGACGGUACCCAAAGAAUAAGCACCGGCUAACUUCGUG